This 469-nucleotide ribosomal RNA is filed under the name uncultured bacterium. RNAcentral's name for it is "partial 16S ribosomal RNA". It matches the Rfam family "Bacterial small subunit ribosomal RNA", at positions 28 to 507 of the family's 1533-position model. The record is from RNAcentral.
GACGAACGCUGGCGGCGUGCUUAACACAUGCCAGUCGAACGGAAAGGCCCUGCUUGCAGGGUGCUCGAGUGGCGAACGGGUGAGUAACACGUGGGUGAUCUGCCCCUUAUUUUGGGAUAAGCCUGGGAAACUGGGUCUAAUACUGGAUAGGACCAUGCUGUAGGUGGUGUGGUGGAAAGAUUAGUUUCGGUAAGGGAUGAGCUCGCGGUCUAUCAGCUUGUUGGUGGGGUAAUGGCCUACCAAGGCGUCGACGGGUAGCCGGCCUGAGAGGGUGGACGGCCACAUUGGGACUGAGAUACGGCCCAGACUCCUACGGGAGGCAGCAGUGGGGAAUAUUGCACAAUGGGCGCAAGCCUGAUGCAGCGACGCCGCGUGGGGGAUGACGGCCUUCGGGUUGUAAACUCCUUUCAGCCAUGACGAAGCCCUUGUGGUGACGGUAGUGGUAGAAGAAGCACCGGCUAACUACGUG